GCCGAGGUAGCUCAGUCGGUAGAGCACGCGACUGAAAAUCGCGGUGUCGCCGGUUCGAUUCCGGCCCUCGGCACCA
Molecule: transfer RNA, 76 nt
Filed under: Chloroflexota bacterium
Lineage: Bacteria; Bacillati; Chloroflexota
Description: Chloroflexi bacterium tRNA-Phe
Rfam family: tRNA
About the family: Transfer RNA (tRNA) molecules are approximately 80 nucleotides in length. Their secondary structure includes four short double-helical elements and three loops (D, anti-codon, and T loops).
Source: RNAcentral